AGUGAACGCUGGCGGUAGGCCUAACACAUGCAAGUCGAACGGCGGCACAGUAAGAGCUUGCUCUUACGGGUGGCGAGUGGCGGACGGGUGAGGAAUACAUCGGAAUCUACUUUUUCGUGGGGGAUAACGUAGGGAAACUUACGCUAAUACCGCAUACGACCUACGGGUGAAAGCAGGGGAUCUUCGGACCUUGCGCGAUUGAAUGAGCCGAUGUCGGAUUAGCUAGUUGGCGGGGUAAAGGCCCACCAAGGCGACGAUCCGUAGCUGGUCUGAGAGGAUGAUAGGCCACACUGGAACUGAGACACGGUCCAGACUCCUACGGGAGGCAGCAGUAGGGAAUAUUGGGCAAUGGGCGCAAGCCUGACGGAGCAAUACCGCGUGAGUGAAGAAGGCCUUCGGAUUGUAAAACCCUGUUAUUAGGGAAGAAAAGAAGCGUAUGAAAACGUGGAUAUUCUGACGGUACCUAAUGAGUAAGCAACGGCUAACUUCGUG
This 492-nucleotide ribosomal RNA is filed under the name uncultured bacterium. Its description in RNAcentral is "partial 16S ribosomal RNA". It matches the Rfam family "Bacterial small subunit ribosomal RNA", at positions 29 to 507 of the family's 1533-position model. The record is from RNAcentral.